This is a small nuclear RNA of Jaculus jaculus (lesser Egyptian jerboa), 104 nucleotides long. The record is from Ensembl. Lineage: Eukaryota; Metazoa; Chordata; Mammalia; Rodentia; Dipodidae.
GUGCUCACUUUGGCAGCACAUAUACUAAAAUUGGAAUGAUACAGAGAUUAGUAUGGCCCCUGGGCAAGGAUGACAUGCAAAUCCAGGAAGCGUUCCAUAUUUUU